RNAcentral lists this unclassified non-coding RNA (335 nucleotides) under soil metagenome. RNAcentral's name for it is "partial contains 5.8S ribosomal RNA, internal transcribed spacer 2, and large subunit ribosomal RNA". The stretch from base 1 to 120 matches the Rfam family "5.8S ribosomal RNA", at positions 35 to 154 of the family's 154-position model. The record is from RNAcentral.
GAUGAAGAACGUAGUGAAAUGCGAUAAGUAAUGUGAAUUGCAGAAUUCAGUGAAUCAUCGAAUCUUUGAACGCACAUUGCGCCCAUUAGUAUUCUAGUGGGCAUGCCUGUUCGAGCGUCAUUUCAACCCUUAAGCCUAGCUUAGUGUUGGGAAUCUGCUGUAUUGCAGUUCCUCAAAUACAACGGCGGAUCUGUAACAUCCUCUGAGCGUAGUAAAUUUUUAUCUCGCUUUUGUUAGGUGUUGCAGCUCUCAGCCGCUAAACCCCCCAAUUUUUGUGGUUGACCUCGGAUCAGGUAGGAAUACCUGCUGAACUUAAGCAUAUCAUAAGCGGAGGA